Molecule: non-coding RNA, 46 nt
Organism: Mesitornis unicolor (brown roatelo)
Lineage: Eukaryota; Metazoa; Chordata; Aves; Mesitornithiformes; Mesitornithidae
Source: Rfam
CCUCAGGCUUCCCUAGAAGCCAUCAGGAGAUUUUAACUCAAGAACU